AGUUAAUUAUUCAUAUAUAUAUAUAUGAGAUCGAUAUUCUAAUAAUAAACAUAAAAUUUGUUAAAUUGUCUAUCCUAUUAGAAAAUUACAUCUUGAAGAUAUACAUAUAUAUGUGUGUACUACAUUACUAAAUCAUACAUAGACCAAGCGAAACAUAACCAAAACAAUGCAAAUGAUACACAAAAUGCAACCUCAGCAAGGGCAAGCAGCCACGCGACCGGCACAUUCCACUGGUGCUUGAAAGAAUGUACAUGUUACAGGUGGUCGUAUUUUGCUGAUGCUGCGUCUGCGUUCUUUCCAUGACCUUCGUUACUGAUACCAGUGGAAUGUGCCGGUCGCGUGGCUGCUUGGCCUUGCUGAGGUUGCAUUUUGUGUAUCAUUUGCAUUGUUUUGGUUAUGUUUCGCUUGGUCUAUGUAUACGAGUUGAUACUUGCGUUGUUUGUGUAUUGCGGUUAUCUAUGUUUUCGUUGCGGCACGUGCGGAGCGUGGGACGUGACAAUAUCUCUAUCCCGUUUGAGAUAAUUUCACGUUUAAACGCUCUUUUCAUUCCAUUUUACAUGCAAAACGUAGUGCACGCGUUUUCCAGCGUCGAAACAAGCCCACACACACGCAAAUCGCAAUCAUUCGUCGAUUUUAACGAAAAUUAAUCGUAAUUUCUUUCCCGUUUGAGAUAUUUCGACGUUUCAACGCUAUUUUCACUGCAUUAUGCGUGCAGAACGUAGUGCACGCGUUUUCCAGCGUCGAAACA
This 748-nucleotide unclassified non-coding RNA is filed under the name Bombus terrestris (buff-tailed bumblebee). RNAcentral describes it as "misc RNA ENSBTSG00005038704.1". The record is from RNAcentral. Lineage: Eukaryota; Metazoa; Arthropoda; Insecta; Hymenoptera; Apidae.